UACGUAGGGUGCGAGCGUUGUCCGGAAUUAUUGGGCGUAAAGAGCUUGUAGGCGGUUUGUCGCGUCUGCUGUGAAAAUCCGGGGCUCAACCCCGGACUUGCAGUGGGUACGGGCAGACUAGAGUGUGGUAGGGGAGACUGGAAUUCCUGGUGUAGCGGUGAAAUGCGCAGAUAUCUGGAGGAAUACCGGUGGCGAAGGCGGCAUCCUGGACCGACAUUGACGCUGAACGGCGAAAGCUAGGGGAGCAAACGGG
RNAcentral lists this ribosomal RNA (253 nucleotides) under uncultured bacterium. RNAcentral's name for it is "partial 16S ribosomal RNA". It matches the Rfam family "Bacterial small subunit ribosomal RNA", at positions 524 to 776 of the family's 1533-position model. The record is from RNAcentral.